This 286-nucleotide ribosomal RNA is filed under the name uncultured bacterium. RNAcentral's name for it is "partial 16S ribosomal RNA". It matches the Rfam family "Bacterial small subunit ribosomal RNA", at positions 367 to 670 of the family's 1533-position model. The record is from RNAcentral.
CACAAUGGGCGAAAGCCUGAUGCAGCAACGACGCGUGAGUGAUGAAGGCCUUCGGGUUGUAAAGCUCUGUCUUCUGGGACGAUAAUGACGGUACCAGAGGAGGAAGCCACGGCUAACUACGUGCCAGCAGCCGCGGUAAUACGUAGGUGGCAAGCGUUGUCCGGAUUUACUGGGCGUAAAGGAUGCGUAGGCGGAUACUUAAGUCAGAUGUGAAAAUCCCGGGCUUAACUUGGGAACUGCAUUUGAAACUGGGUAUCUAGAGUGCGGGAGAGGAAAGUGGAAUUCC